RNAcentral lists this ribosomal RNA (472 nucleotides) under uncultured delta proteobacterium. RNAcentral's name for it is "bacterial SSU rRNA". It matches the Rfam family "Bacterial small subunit ribosomal RNA", at positions 400 to 863 of the family's 1533-position model. Lineage: Bacteria; Deltaproteobacteria. The record is from RNAcentral.
CGUGAGUGAAGAAGGCUUUCGGGUCGUAAAGCUCUGUCAAGUGGGAAAAAAAUCUGAUGAUUAAUAGUUGUCAGAUCUGAUGGUACCGCUGGAGGAAGCACCGGCUAACUCCGUGCCAGCAGCCGCGGUAAUACGGAGGGUGCAAGCGUUGUUCGGAAUUACUGGGCGUAAAGGGCGUGCAGGCGGGUUGGUAAGUCAGAUGUGAAAGCCCUGGGCUCAACCCAGGAAGUGCAUUUGAAACUGCCAUCCUAGAGUAUGGGAGAGGAGAGUGGAAUUCCCAAUGUAGAGGUGAAAUUCGUAGAUAUUGGGAGGAACACCCGUGGCGAAGGCGACUCUCUGGACCAAUACUGACGCUGAGACGCGAAAGCGUGGGGAGCAAACAGGAUUAGAUACCCUGGUAGUCCACGCUGUAAACGAUGAGAACUAGGUGUAGCGGGUAUUGACCCCUGCUGUGCCGAAGUUAACGCAUUAA